Molecule: non-coding RNA, 95 nt
Organism: Mycena rebaudengoi
Lineage: Eukaryota; Fungi; Basidiomycota; Agaricomycetes; Agaricales; Mycenaceae
Source: the annotation of a GenBank genome assembly
GACCCAGUGGUGGAAUGGUUAACAUACCCGCUUGCUGUGGAAGAACUGCGUGGUUGUUUGUGUGGGAGAUCCCUGUUCGACUCAGGGCUGGAUCA